Molecule: ribosomal RNA, 445 nt
Filed under: uncultured bacterium
Lineage: Bacteria
Description: bacterial SSU rRNA
Rfam family: Bacterial small subunit ribosomal RNA
Source: RNAcentral
CCUACGGGAGGCACCAGUGGGGAAUAUUGCACAAUGGGCGAAAGCCUGAUGCAGCAACGCCGCGUGAGGGAUGACGGCCUUCGGGUUGUAAACCUCUUUCAGUAGGGAAGAAGCGAAAGUGACGGUACCUGCAGAAGAAGCGCCGGCUAACUGCGUGCCAGCAGCCGCGGUAAUACGUAGGGCGCAAGCGUUGUCCGGAAUUAUUGGGCGUAAAGAGCUUGUAGGUGGCUUGUCGCGUCUGCCGUGAAAACCCGAGGCUCAACCUCGGGCGUGCGGUGGGUACGGGCAGGCUAGAGCGUGGUAGGGGAGACUGGAACUCCUGGUGUAGCGGUGAAAUGCGCAGAUAUCAGGAAGAACACCGAUGGCGAAGGCAGGUCUCUGGGCCAUUACUGACACUGAGAAGCGAAAGCAUGGGGAGCGAACAGGAUUAGAUACCCUAGUAGUC